Molecule: small nucleolar RNA, 178 nt
Rfam family: Small nucleolar RNA snR32
AACAUCAACCGCGUAUUCCAUCCUCUACAAAAAGGUAUUGUCUUUUUUAUUCCUAUAUGGAUGAUACUGGGGGGCCUCAUGUGGAAUAUAUGCGUAGAUAGAAUUAAAGAACGUUGCUGGGCGCCCGAUGUUGAAUCCUAAAAACUUGAGAUGUUGGGAAUCAGUUGUUUCUACAUGU